Eubalaena glacialis (North Atlantic right whale) is the source of this 328-nucleotide long non-coding RNA. RefSeq lists it as uncharacterized. The record is from RefSeq and is a predicted model, not a curated record. Lineage: Eukaryota; Metazoa; Chordata; Mammalia; Artiodactyla; Balaenidae. The transcript has 5 exons.
GGCUCGCGGGGGUGAGGCGUUUAGGUGCGUGGCCUCCCCACUCUCGUUGGGUGAGGUAACACAGACCUUGGAGCCAGAUUUGCUGGGUUUGUACCCCAGCCCCAACAGUUAAGCGCUCUAUGGCUUUGCAACUCAGGUAGCAUGAAUCUCAUCAGCACAGAGAGAAAGCUUCGCUGAAAACUCAUUGCAGGUCGCACCCCCUCAACUCAGAUGGCAACAGUGCAGUCAGAGGCCUGCCCUUCUGAGGAGGAACACAGAGGCUCUACAGGGUGGAGAAACCCCAAGAUGGAAGGCGCCUGGGUACCAAAUGACUGCAUGCCGACCUGCA